Phyllostomus discolor (pale spear-nosed bat) is the source of this 1952-nucleotide long non-coding RNA. RefSeq lists it as uncharacterized. The transcript is spliced from 2 exons. The record is from RefSeq and is a predicted model, not a curated record. NCBI's taxonomy places the organism in Eukaryota, Metazoa, Chordata, Mammalia, Chiroptera, Phyllostomidae.
UUGUAUCUUCAAUAGAUGUCUCUACUUUUCCUAUUUUGUGGCUGGAUACCUUUUGGACAGACUUCAUAUAUACUACAAUUUGUUCAUUUAUCUGUAGAUGGGUAUCUGGGUUUCCAGCUUGGGAGAAUUAUUAAUAAUUCUGCCAUAAACAUUCUGUACACUUAAUUUUGUGUACUAUAUUAACUUAUGUAUGUAGGAUGUAUAUCACAGUGAAAAGAGAAGGAAAAAAGAUCUCAUUGGGACCAUAUGUAUUAUCAGCAUUUAUUAUUAUUAUUAUUUAGCAUUGUGCUAAAUACUGAAAGAUAUAAAAAUGAAUUAAAAAUGAUUCUUCCAAGAAAUUUAAACAUAAUUCAGCAUGUGGAAUUUAUUGUGUUAUUACAAAAGCAGUCAACUAGCAGUGCACAUUUUAAACAGCCUUGACAUAGAGUUAGGAUAUAAUUGGUUAGAAUAUUAAGCUCACCUGGAUGCUGUGGUCAGCUAGGCACUUGUGAUUACAAGUGGAUUGCAAGUGGAAGUCACUGAUGACUGAUUUCUUCUCUAACAAGGUGUGAUUCCCUUCUACUCCCCAAUCCCUAGAAAAAGGCGGUGCUAUAGAAGAAGGUGGCUUUGCUAUGCUUAUUUUUGAGUAAGCUAAAGGAUAGAGACCAAAUUUUUAGCAUAAGACAGAAAAGUCUUGAGAAAUUUUGGGUAUCUUUCUAUAUUUCUUUUUCUGUCAAAAAGUCAGAAAAAUUGUGUUAAUUAAAUUUUGAAGCCAAAAUAUCUUUCAAGACUCUAGACAAAUUCUUUCUUUAUAAUUUAGAAAAAAAGUAAUGAACAAGUCAUAGUUGGUUCAGUGCCCAUCUAAGUGUUAAAGGCAUAAAUACUGAGUUCUUACUGUUUUUAUUAUUCUGUGGUUAGGGGUAGAGAUAUUAGCAGUAAUAGCUAUAUUGCCUUCAUAUAUAAAGAAUGACAGAAACUCCCAUGUGCUUAGAGCUGUCUUUUUAGUAGUCAUGAUGGGUUUGUGCUGGUGAACCACGCUAGACCCUCUUUGAACAGCAUGAUCUGAUAGCAAAGUGUAGAUGAGUCUGGGUCAUAUUUUAAUUGAUUUCCUUAAUUUCAGCAGCAUUUCACAAAGGAUUUUAUGCAUUUUUCAGUGAUGGAAUACGACCAAGGAAAUCAGGAUGACUGCAAAGUGAGCACAAGGACGAUGGAUAGUUAAGUAUAAUAUUGAUACACAAAGGCCCUUAAAAGUUUUGAGUUUCCUAAUGGCCAAUGAAAAGAUUAGUCUGUAAAAUAAGAGAUAUGAUUUUUUUUUAUCAUUUUGCCAACAUACAUGUAGUUUAUAAAUAGUUGUAGAAAAGUGCCUGAAUUGGAAUAUCUAGGUUUUUUUGCCUAAGCAUUUUCUAGAAGAGGAAUAUGAAGUCAUAAACCCAUUGCUGAAGGUAGUAAAUUCUGUAGUUUCGGUUUUAAUAUUCAUCAUUGUAGAUCACUGUGACAUCUUCUAUUAGCUCUUUAUCUUAUGCUGUUCAAGAUUUUUUUAAGGCUAUUUUAUGCUAAAGUAAUUUUAUUCUUGUCAAUUCCAAAACCACCUCUCAAGAUUUCACACUAUGUUUCUAGUUCAUUCAGGAUUGUUGUUGUGGGUAGAAGAUGGAGUCUUCAAAAAACUGUUCUGCCUUCUGCUUUCUUAUUUUGGGCAAUUACAGUCUUGAUAGUGACUCUGAUCUUAGGCUUUUCAUUUAUUGUUUUUUUUUCUUUCUUUCUUUCUUUUUUUUUUCUUCCUUUUUUGGACCAGGUACUUCUUUGACAUUUUCUGGCUCUCUUUUUCCUUCAACUCAGUCUGUUUGCUGGCUUAUCUCUACUUGGCUUCUUACCAUUCAUUAAUUCCCACUUGAGGCAUGGCACUUCUCCCAGAACACUUGAAUCUCCGCAGGGUCUUCCCCUGAGCACAGCUCCUUAGCACAUUAUUUUUUUCA